AGCGAACGCUGGCGGCAGGCCUAACACAUGCAAGUCGAACGACCCUUUCGGGGUUAGUGGCGGACGCGUGAGUAACGUGUGGGAACGUGCAUUUAGGCUCGGAAUAACUCAUGGAAACUUGUGCUAAUACCGAAUAUGUCAUUCGGGUGACAGAUUCGUCGCCGUUAGAGCGGCCCGCGUUUGAUUAGCUAGUUGGUUGUGGUAAUGGCUAACCAAGGUGACGAUCAGUACCGGGUCUGAGAGGAUGAUCAGCCACAUUGGGACUGAGACACGGCCCAAACUCCUACGGGAUGCAGCAGUGGGGAAUCUUGCGCAAUGGGCGAAAGCCUGACGCAGCCAUGCCGCGUGAAUGAUGAAGGUCUUAGGAUUGUAAAAUUCUUUCACCGGGGACGAUAAUGACGGUACCCGGAGAAGAAGCCCCGGCUAACUUCGUG
RNAcentral lists this ribosomal RNA (434 nucleotides) under uncultured bacterium. Its description in RNAcentral is "partial 16S ribosomal RNA". It matches the Rfam family "Bacterial small subunit ribosomal RNA", at positions 29 to 507 of the family's 1533-position model. The record is from RNAcentral.